UUUCUCACGGCAGGUGAGAGGCGGCCUCCCUUUCCUGCCCUCUCGCCCCGCCCCCUGCGCGGCUCACCCCCGGGCCGUUGCCAUGGCGACCCAGGGGCCAGAGCCGGCCUGCGGCGGCACAACCCGCCGGGUCUCUGAGGACCUGGCGGCGGCGGCGGCGACGACAGUGACAAGUCAUGGAACUUUCAAGAAACAACGUCGAGGAGACCAGGAAGCACACGGGCCUCGGGCGUUGCAGGCAUUUCUUCUGGCUGGGCGUGGUCUUCGACACGGUGGGCACGACCGUGCUGUUCACCGGGGUCUUCGCGCACCUGCUCUUCGACGACCUGCUACUCUACCUGGGUUCCAUCAUCAUCUUCUUCAGCCUGCUGUGGUGGGUCUUCUGGUACACCGGCAACAUCGAACUGACUGCUGAAGAGUCCUUGAAGAGGCCCUUCCACGUGCCCUCCUCCACCACGGUGGACGCGCUGAGCCACCGCCUCUCUCUUACCUUCUGCAACAUGUCCACCACCUUGACGCGGAUCCGGCGGCGCUGCGGUCCCAGGACGUUCCUUCUUAGACCUGCUUCUCCGAGUAUGACCGUCACGUCCCGGCUCGAAAACCAGCUGGAGAAGGAAGACCAGGGCAAAGACGGACCGACAGGUGCCCUGGAGAGCGGAGACUUGCAAAACCUGGGCAGCGAGGAUCUGGGCCCCAAACCUGAAGCUGUCCGAAGUUCAGAGGGAGUUCGCUCCCCGGGCCCUGAUGCUGGGUCUCCGGGCCCCGAGGCUGGGCUGCCAGGGCUUGUGAAAGAAUCGUUUUUCACUCCAGACCAGGCUCAGUCCCUAGCCGUCCUCCCCUCCAGGAGCCUGCCUGUAAUCCCCUCGGCCUCUACCCGCCAGCCUCUAGCCGUGCGUGUUUCCAGGAGCCAGCCGGCGGGCACUCUUGCCUCUGCAGGCCAGCCUGUUGCCUCCUUGGCUUCUGCCAGUCAGCCUGCGCUCAUUGUUGCCCCUGAGAGUCAGCCUGCUGUCCCCUUGUCCUCGUUGACUCAACCUACAGUCCUCCUUGCUUCUCAGAGCCAGACUGCAGUGUCUGUGGUCCCUCAGAGCCAGCCCUUUGUGCCUGUGGCCUCUCAGGACCACUCCUUGGUUUCCGGAGCUUCUCGGGUCCAUCCCCUGGUGCCAUUGCCUGCACAGAGCAACCUCCAGGUCCUUUGGGCCUCUCAAAGCCACCCCCUGGUGUCUGCGGCCGCACAGAGCCAACUCCAAGUCCCACUAGCCUCACAGAGCCAGCUGGAGAAUCUUCCUCCUGCCUCUCAGACUCCAUCUUCAGGUGCUCAGGCUUCCCAGUUGGAGGCCCUGGCCACCCCUGUGUCUCUCAUCCAGCUCCCAUCCUCCCAGUCUUUUCAGACCCAACCUGUGGCCCUGCGGGUCUCCCUUGCUGUCCAGGACUUUCGGGCCUUCUAUCACAGCCAACAGACCCUCCAGAGCAUCUCUUCAGUCCAAGAGAUUGCUCCCAGCCCGUCCGCGCUUGUCCAGGAGUUUCAGAGGAAGCCACUUGCCCAGGCUUUUGAGACUCCGCCACUAGCGGGCCAGGAGCUAAGUCAGGAAUUCCCUGCCACCGCGUCCCCACCCCCUGAGUCCCAGGCUCCAGCUUCUCAGGCCCAGCAAUCAGUGUCUCCUGAGAGCACACCCACCCCUGACUCAGAGAAGACAAGUCGCCCUCCCUAGUACAGAACUGGACCCCUGCUAUCAGAGUGGCCGCUCAGGCCUCUGCCAAGUAAGUGUCUUUGGCAGACUCUUCACCUGCAAUAUUUGAUUGUUUCCGGUCCGUGUUCUGAUCGUUUCCUGGAUCUCUUCUGCUGGAAAAAAUUGAGUGGAGGUGAAGUGGCCUGUUCCUUCCGGGAUUAGAUCUUUUCCACUUUGAAUCACCAAAGUUUCUACAGAUUUAAGUGCCAACUUUAUAAAAGCACAAAUACUUACCUUAACCUCGUUUUGGAAACUUCUGUGUGAGUCCUGACCUAUCUCAGACCAGCAGGCCUGCUACACGGCCUCUGCCAAGCAUGCAUGUGUCAGUGUUGGGGGAGACUUUUCCAGCUUCAGAUCAUAAAGUUCUUUAUUGCCAGAAUUUUAAGCCAUAAUAAACUAUGCUAUUCCAAAUGAA
Molecule: RNA transcript, 2142 nt
Organism: Zalophus californianus (California sea lion)
Lineage: Eukaryota; Metazoa; Chordata; Mammalia; Carnivora; Otariidae
Exons: 2
Source: RefSeq, a predicted model, not a curated record